Molecule: long non-coding RNA, 3425 nt
Organism: Rhea pennata
Lineage: Eukaryota; Metazoa; Chordata; Aves; Rheiformes; Rheidae
Exons: 2
Source: RefSeq, a predicted model, not a curated record
GAUGAGAAACAAAGCCUCAAACCCUCCUUUUGCUACCACAGCGACCCGGAAAAUCGGAGCGGUUGGGUUUUCCCUUCAGCUGCGCAGCGUGCCGUCGGGAUGAAACUUUGAUUAGCGCCGAGCUCUUUGCACGCUGACGACGGGGGGGGGUCGCACAUGCACCCCUUUCGCCCUCGCUCCCCAAACCGGGGGCAGGUCUCACCCGCAGGCUGGAGCGCGGCGCUGGCGGCAGUGAGCGCGGCCCGCGGAAAGCCCCUGGAAGCCACCGCGCCCGUGUGCUGCGCGUCGCUGAGGUUCAUUAACAGAAUGCAAAACUGUAAUUAAAAAUAAUCUCCUUUUUCUUGAAGCAGCGGCAAAAGAGAAAGAAGAGGGCGACGAGCAAGGGGAGAUAAAACGAAUGCAUGAACGUGCUAAUCGCAGCUGCGGGAACGCGACGGCAAAACAAUUUGUGCUUUUGUUUUCCUCGGGCAGCGCUGCGCGAGCAGGACCCCGGCCCCGCGGCGCCUCGCGGCCGGUUUCCCCCGCCGAUGCCCGGGCAGAGGAGCGAGAUCGCGGCCGCCAGCCGCGGAGCAGCCGCGACGGCGGGGAAGAGGGGCCGGCCGGCCGGCCGCCCCCGCGGCAGCCGCUUCGCAGCGGCGGAGGAGGGACGGGUCCCGCGCGCCCCGGAGCCGCGCUGACGCCCGCUUGCUUUAUGUCGGCUGAUUUAUCUCCUCUGGUGGAGCUCUCAUUUCGCGUUGGAGAGUGUUCAAAGUAAAGCCAGCCCCGUUACAGGCUUAAUUGGACCAUAUUUCAGUGCCAGUUCAUCUGUUCAGCGUGGAUCCCUUAUCCGAGCUCCAUAAACUUUUAUUAAGUUAUAUAUCAAGGAAUAUACGUAUUGGGUGUAGAGCUAUAGUGCUGCUUACGUGUUUUCUCUGAAGCGGGAAGGCAGGAGGGAAAGUUCCCCCCCUUCUCUUUUUUCUUGUCUUGCUUUAACCAAAAGCAGCCCCCGAACGGCCGCGCUUCCAGCGGGAUUCGCGUUUCCGGCGCCGGGGAGCAAAGCCGGGGCGGAAAACCGGGCGGCCCCGCGGCAGGACGGGGGCAGGCGGCGGCCGCGCAGCGAUCCUCCCGACUUAACGACGCGUUCGCCGUAGAUCUCGCCAUUGAUUGCUGAAGUCAAGUUAAUAACAGAGUUAAUUACCAGCUAAUAAGUUUGCUGCUAAUAGCUGUAACGGAUUUUGGUGAGGGUUGUCAAAAGGGGCUGAUUGGAAGGUCUCUUGGGUAGGAUCCUCGUUACGGGAAUGGGUGUACUGAAGGCAAAUGAUCGCAAUCUUUCUUCUUUGAUGAACGGUAAAUUAUUCUAAUAUCCUUCGCUAUUGUAUUCGCUUAUUAUCCGUGGGUAAUUAGCAGUGAAGAGCUGCAAAGCUGCCUUGGCUGCAGACCACGGCAAUCGCCCAGACGCGCUCUACAGCGGGACCGAUGCCCCGAGUCCCCUGCGCAGCUCGGCGCCGGGCCGGGGGCCGAGGCCGUCGCGGCCGCGGGACGGACCUUGGCCUGCAUCCGAGUUUCUUCCGCUCUCAGCCCGGCGGAUCGAAUCCCUCGCAGGCCGCUCGCGAGCCAGAGCUGCUGGCGCCCGGCGGCCGCCGUGCUGCUGCGUGGCGUUGGCUUUGCUGCGGUCCGUUUCUCAGCAGCUCCAAGUCUCGGCCAGGACGGCGGUACCUCGGCUGACGGGCUCUCCAACGCCUCCCUCAGGAGGCUGCUGCGGAGCAGACGAAAUCUUGUUAUUAGGAAGCUUUUUCUUGACAUUAAGCCUCAAUUUUUGUCUGCUUAAUUUAUGCCAUUGGAAGGAGCCGCUGCAGGACCCACGUUCGUGAGAACUAGCGUUUCCGUGGGAAUUCUACUGGAUUAAAAAAAUCGGUUAACCUCUCUCAUCAAAACCCCAAGCAGCGCGUUCGAAGCAGAACAGUCCCUUCGCUUAUUUGCUUUUUCCACUGGGGAGACUGCUCUUCUUGCCCGUGGGACCGUCUUUGCCCCCGUCCGCGGUUGCCCCCGGGCCGCAGGCGCAGGCGGGGAGCUGGCAGGACGGAGCCGCGGGGAGCAGCCUGCCUCUGCCGCCCGGCUCCUCCGGAACGGCUUGCUUUGGGAAUUCCCAGAGCAGAGCGGGCUCGCCGAGUGCUCCCUCCCCGCACGGAGGCACAAGCGCUGCUUCACCGAUCCCCUCGAACCCUCUGAACUCGUCGGAGGAGCCGCCAGCGCCAGGAGGGAGCCGCUCGGCGGCAGGUCGCUCCCGUUCGCUGGAGCUGUGCCAGGAGGCAGGAAAAUCCCCGCUGGAGACACGUCCUUGCGGAAACCGCCUCGCUCCUGGCACGCCGCCGGGGACGGCGGAGGGGGAUCCGGCCGGGCUUGGGCUCUGCCGCUGCCCCAGCACCUCCAGCACGUCCCGCGCGCGCCGGAGCCCCCGGCAAGCAGGUGACACUCUCUGAAUGUCAUUUAAAGUUCACUUUCAUUAUUUUAAUUGUCACUGUAAAAAAUCCCCCGUUCAGGCCUGAUUACGCUGAAAGAGAAGUCAGGACUCAAAUCGCAAUCAGUCAGGCCCGGCAGCGCGGCUGCUCUGGCUCGUGACGCGGCGCCCGAGCUGCGAUCAAGGAGCGGCAUCAGCGAGCGCUGAAAAGCUGCCGGGCGCCUCGGGCGCGCAGGGUUAGCGCCGCGCCGCGCUUCGCCGGCCGCCGCGAUUUCGCCCGAUGCUUCGAGCCCCGGACGAGGCGCGGGACGGAGGGUUUUCGGGCGCACGCGCGAAGCCUCUGGGCAGCGUUUUUAGCUUGAGGCAAGUUUCUAGACGAAAGGCGCUUUCCACCGAGCUGCCAGGGAGCAAGAGCCGCAGCAGGAUGCCAGUCCUUUCAUGCAAAUAAUUAAGGGGGGAAAAAAGGAUGGUUCAUAAGAUGCCUGAAGAGUGUAACCUUCCAGACAAACCAAUUUACAAAAAGAUAGAGCCAGUGGGAUCAGGCAAUAACUUAAUAAGCAUCCCUGAAAAAACAAUGCAUUUAAGAACAUGGCUUGUUUUUUUUUUUUUUUCCCUAAUGGAGAAACAUCAGCUCUGUGGGGAAAUAAAUGUAAUAAACUAAGUCCAAUCUCCACAAACAUUUGUUUUCUUAUCUCUGUAAAAUCAAUAUACAUGUUGCAAUUAUGUCCUCCGAUGAAUCCCCAAACUUUUGAUUCUCUCUCAAGGCUUCCUGCUCGAUUCCAGUUCAUCACGUCUCCCUUUCUUCAUCUAGAUAAAUUUAUUUUUUUGCAUUUCUAAGACCAAGUCAUAUAUUUCUCAAAAGGUUUCAUUACUCUUUCCUUACAUCAGGGUGAGGAGAAGAGUGCUUCCCUCAGCUUUAAUCUAAUCAAAUGCGGGAUGCUCUAUAAAUAAAUAAAUUUGGGGAGCAACCACCCGGGAAUAUCCAUUA